AGGGAGAAUGCAAAAUUUUCACACACACAUUCCGUUAGUCACUCACGAAAAGAAAAGACGUGGAUAUUCUUUUUGGCAUUGUGAUAGAUAUUUUCCACAAGGAGGAAAAUUCUUUAUCAAAAAUACAAUCAACAAACGUUUGUUUAUAGUUUUCCCAUUCAUUUGUUUAUAAAAUUUAUCAGUGAAGCAAAGGAUAGUACAGAGUAAAAGAUAUUUUCCUGCCCUUCUAAAGGGGUGGUGAAAAGACUGUGUAAAAACUCCAGUUGGAAGUUGUAGGUGGUGGUGUAAAGUGGAAAAGCACUCCAUCGUGAUGUCACUGUUUCCCAGUUUAAAUUAAUUGCAACAUUUUUAAAGAGUGUGUCUUCAAGUAACAAUUUCAACACAUUUUGGAUAUUGUUAUUGCAGCGACCUAAUAAAUUGCUUGUGCACACAUUCAUCUACACACAAAGCUGUUUCUUUCCAUUUAAUAUUAAUUUAGCUUAGUGGAAGUGCUUUGUGGCGAUUCAAUUUAAUUUAAUAAUUCACUACAAUUUAUCAAUUAAGUUGCAAAUUAAAGUGAGAUCGAGCUGACAGCAAUUUUCAAUAUUCAUUCCGCAUCAGUAAUUUGCACAACGAUUAAAAAUUGUUAAGCGAGCAAAUAAUAGCAUAAAAUGAAACAAUAGAGAACAAAGCAAAACUCUAAAGAAAGAGCUUUGGUACAAGCGCUAUUAACAACGAAAGAGGAUUGAAACGUUGAGUCGAGCGUAGAAUUCCAAAAAUAAGCAUACAUACGUCCAGCACAGAAGUAUAUUAUGAGCGCAAAAUUAUAUCUUAGAAUUUUGUAAAACUUCAAACGACACAGCUGAAAAACGAGUUAGAAACACAAAACGUAACACAUUCACAUACACGUCCCUCCAAGAGCAACGAUUCGUAACGCUAUACAGGCGAUCACAGCACGAUUCCGCCCACAACAACCUGUCACGCCCACUGUUGAACAUAGAAUUGUAGCCUAGCCGCCGUUUUAAGAGAAAAACGGCCGCCGUCCACUACAGAGAAGCACAGAGAAAAGGCAUCAAACAGAUAUUGGAGUCAUAAAAUUCCCACCGUAACGACAUUCAAGCAUUCUCUAAAAUUCUCCCUCUCCGUCAUAUGUACGUGCAACAUAAAUACAAAAAAUUUUGGUCUUUUUUGUAUGUUACAUUCGACAUUAGUCCAUUUCUAUCCCAAAAUCAUCCUCCCCUCCCAAAAUAAACUGCCCGUCCAUUGAAACAAAAAACAAAAAAAAAAAAAGAAACAACAACUUACACAAACAUACAAAACGGCUGCAGCAUGUCUGAAUUGGAAAACGCCGCAACAGCCGGCAAAACUAUUGAGGAGCUGCGUAUGGAAGUUGAACGGCUGACGCGUGAACUAGAUCAGGCAGCAAGUGAGCGAGCACAAUCAGCACAAUAUGGUCUAUCAUUAUUGGAAGAGAAAUCGUCAUUGGAACAAAAGUGCGAGGAGUUGGAGACACUCUACGAUCAUGCAAAACAUGAGUUAGACAUUACACAGGAGGCUCUCGCAAAGUUUCACACUUCACAAAAAGUCACCACGAAAACGGGUAUCGAACAGGAAGAAUCCCUGCUCACGGAAACCGCAGAGCUCGAGACAACUUUGAAUAGUAAAAUUUUAGAUUUGGAAAAUGAGACAAAGCAAUUACGUCACGAAUUGGAACGAGUACGCAAUGAACGUGAUCGUAUGCUGCAAGAAAAUACCGACAUUGGACGCGACAAAUCAGACAAUGAAGCUGAGAAAUUACGUCUUAAGGCCGAGUUAAAGGAUUUGAAGUUUCGUGAGACACGCAUGCUAACGGAAUACACAGAAUUAGAGGAAGAAAACAUAUCGCUGCAAAAGCAGGUGUCGAGCUUAAGAAGUUCGCAGGUUGAAUUUGAAGGCGCCAAGCAUGAGAUACGUCGCCUUACCGAAGAGGUAGAGCUCUUAAAUUCACAAGUAGAUGAAUUGGCAAAUCUGAAGAAAAUCGCUGAAAAGCAAAUGGAAGAAGCUCUGGAGGCUUUACAGUGUGAGCGCGAGGCUAAAUAUGCACUCAAAAAAGAAUUGGAUGGCCAUUUAAAUCGCGAGUCCAUGUACAAGUUAAGCAAUUUAGCUUAUCUACGUAGUAAUAUGGAUGACAACAUAAGCGCAAAUAGUGAUGGCGAAGAGGAAAACUUGGCUUUGAAACGACUUGAAGCCGAUUUAACCACAGAAUUGAAUGCAACAGAUGGCACCAAAUGCGAUCUCUUCUCUGAGGUACAUUUGAAUGAGUUGAAAAAGUUGGAAAAACAAUUAGAAUCAAUUGAAAAUGAAAAGAUGUUACUCACCGCGAAUUUACGUGAAGCACAAACCAGUUUGGAUAAAUCACAAAAUGAAAUACAAAAUUUCAUGGCACGUCUAGCGUUGCUAACUGCACAUGUAGAUGCAUUGCUACAAUUAAAGAAACAGCUGGAUAUUAAAGAUGACUCCAUGGAGGCGGUAAAACGACGUAAUGAUGAACAAAAUGUACGACAGCAACUCUUGGAUAUACUAUCACAGUAUAACAGUUGGUUCACAUUAUCUUCCAAAGAGAUUGACGGUCUCAAGACUGAUUUGGUUGAACUGCAAAAGGGUUUCAACUAUACCGAUGCAAUGACAACACUACGUAAUGAGGUCACAAAUUUGAAAAAUAAAUUGCUCAGCACUGAGCAAAAGUCAUUGGAUCUGCAAAGUGAUGUGCAGACACUCACAAGUAUAUCACAAAGUGCCGGUCAAAGUUUGGGUUCGGCACGCUCCACUUUGGUGGCCUUGAGCGAUGACUUGGCACAGCUGUAUCAUUUAGUUUGCACCGUCAAUGGCGAAAUACCGACGCGUAUUAUGCUCGAUACAAAGAGCGAUGAUAUGAGCUUCGAAAACGAUUCGCUUACUGCCAUACAAUCGCAGUUUAAAUCUGACAUUUUUACUUCCCGCUCACAUACCAUUGAGGAUUUGCAAGGACUUGCCGAUUCUGUGGAAAUUAAAAAGUAUGUCGACACUGUGGGAGAUCAGAUUAAACACUUGAAAACCGCUGUAGAGCAUACAAUCGAGCAUAACAAGAAUAAAGUACGCGGCGACGUGUCUGAAGCUGACAAGUAUAAUCGUGAGGAAGUCGAGGAGUUACAAGAACAAAUUGUACGCCUUAAAGGCUUGUUAUCGCUCAAACGCGAUCAAAUCGCUACGUUACGUACUGUAUUGAAGUCCAACAAGCAGACCGCUGAGGUGGCGCUCACCAAUCUCAAAUCGAAAUAUGAAAAUGAGAAGACCGUGGUUAGCGAGACAAUGGCCAAGUUACGUAAUGAGUUGAAGAUACUCAAGGAAGAUGCUGCGACAUUCUCAAGCUUGCGCGCUAUGUUCGCUGCACGUUGCGAGGAGUAUGUUACACAGGUGGAUGAUUUGAAUCGCAAGCUAGAAGCUGCUGAAGAGGAAAAGAAGACACUUAAUCAGCUGUUGCGUUUAGCUGUACAGCAAAAAAUUGAAUUGACGCAACGCAUGGAGGAAAUGGAAAUUGAUCGGUGGGUGCCUAUGCGGCGUUAAGCUACCUACAUACCAAUAAUAUAUAAAAGCCUAGAUAAAAAAAAACAAAAAAAGUUAAAAUGAAUUCGCAGUUCUUCCCAGAAGCCAAUAUUUUUUUCAAUUUUGUCGUGAAGUUCGUUAUCUUAUGUUCAAACCUGCGCUCGCGUUCAAAAUUAGUGCUUAGUGCUUGCUGUAUACACAAAUAUCUUCUACUUACGAUAUAUAUAUAUUUGCUAAACGCAUAUUUUGUUUUACCGUACGUAUGUAUAUCCCGUUGUUAUCCUCUGCCCCGCCUACCAAAUUAAACAUUAAUUUCUCGCCUGUGUACGUUUAAGUUGUGCUCGUCUUUCGUUUAAAUUUGCCAACAACUAUAACAUUUAAGCCGCGUUUCCGAAUUGCGAAACACGUUUUGCGCGUCGUCCUUUACCACCACAACGUGGCAGCAGUGGCAAAUCGUUUUCAUCACGACCAUCGACACGUAACCC
This 4025-nucleotide unclassified non-coding RNA is filed under the name Ceratitis capitata (Mediterranean fruit fly). RNAcentral's name for it is "protein bicaudal D, transcript variant X1". The record is from RNAcentral. Lineage: Eukaryota; Metazoa; Arthropoda; Insecta; Diptera; Tephritidae.